AUUGAACGCUGGCGGCAGGCCUAACACAUGCAAGUCGAACGGUAACAGGAAGCAGCUUGCUGCUUCGCUGACGAGUGGCGGACGGGUGAGUAAUGUCUGGGAAACUGCCUGAUGGAGGGGGAUAACUACUGGAAACGGUAGCUAAUACCGCAUAACGUCGCAAGACCAAAGAGGGGGACCUUAGGGCCUCUUGCCAUCGGAUGUGCCCAGAUGGGAUUAGCUAGUAGGUGGGGUAACGGCUCACCUAGGCGACGAUCCCUAGCUGGUCUGAGAGGAUGACCAGCCACACUGGAACUGAGACACGGUCCAGACUCCUACGGGAGGCAGCAGUGGGGAAUAUUGCACAAUGGGCGCAAGCCUGAUGCAGCCAUGCCGCGUGUAUGAAGAAGGCCUUCGGGUUGUAAAGUACUUUCAGCGGGGAGGAAGGGAGUAAAGUUAAUACCUUUGCUCAUUAACGUUACCCGCAGAAGAAGCGCCGGCUAACUCCGUG
This 490-nucleotide ribosomal RNA is filed under the name uncultured bacterium. Its description in RNAcentral is "partial 16S ribosomal RNA". It matches the Rfam family "Bacterial small subunit ribosomal RNA", at positions 30 to 507 of the family's 1533-position model. The record is from RNAcentral.